Molecule: long non-coding RNA, 766 nt
Filed under: Drosophila guanche
Lineage: Eukaryota; Metazoa; Arthropoda; Insecta; Diptera; Drosophilidae
Source: RNAcentral
CCUGGAUGGAGGACCAAAAUAACGACUGUCUGCGGCAGCAUCCACUUGGCACUGGGCUCGACACGAACAGCGAGUCAUGUAUUGACUUAGCGGAGCAGCAUUCAAAUGCCACUUUCACCCACCUACGUCGAGGCUCUCAGGUACUUUAUCCGAUUUUGAGAUAUAUUAAUUAGUAUUGAUUCAAGUUCAUCCCACGGUAGAGUGACCGAUGAAAACAGCGCUGGCGCAGCACAGCUCAUUGAUCAGACGAUGAACAUCAGACAGCACAUCCCUUCUUGUGAACUCCUCUCUCGAGUUCGAAGUAUCGGCAUUGUGGAUGGUUCAGCAGGACAGCAGGUUCAGGACAGCCCAAUCGAUGCUGCCCAGGCAAGCGGCAGUGACCCUCCUUCUAGAGCGAAUAGAGAAAGGCCACAGUCUGAAUGGUCUUGCCGAGGCCCAUCUCAUCGGCUAGAAUGGUGUCGAUUGCCUGUCGAGGCUCUUCAGGUACUUUAUCCGAUUUUGAGAUAUUUUAAUUAGUAUUGAUUCAAGUUCAUCCCACCGUAGAGUGACCGAUGAAAACAGCGCUGGCGCAGCACAGCUCAUUGAUCAGACGAUGAACAUCAGACAGCACAUCCCUUCUUGUGAACUCCUCUCUCGAGUUCGAAGUAUCGGCAUUGUGGAUGGUUCAGCAGGACAGCAGGUUCAGGACAGCCCAAUAGAUGCUGCCCAGGCAAGCGGCAGUGACCCUCCUUCUAGAGCGAAUAGAGAAAGGCCACAGUCUGAAUGG